CCUUUGGUGGUGCAAAUGGUUAACACACUUGGCUGAUAACCAAACAGAGGUUCGAUUCUGCCCAGAGGC
Molecule: transfer RNA, 69 nt
Filed under: Loxodonta africana (African savanna elephant)
Lineage: Eukaryota; Metazoa; Chordata; Mammalia; Proboscidea; Elephantidae
Rfam family: tRNA
About the family: Transfer RNA (tRNA) molecules are approximately 80 nucleotides in length. Their secondary structure includes four short double-helical elements and three loops (D, anti-codon, and T loops).
Source: Rfam by way of RNAcentral